Molecule: ribosomal RNA, 516 nt
Filed under: uncultured bacterium
Lineage: Bacteria
Description: partial 16S ribosomal RNA
Rfam family: Bacterial small subunit ribosomal RNA
Source: RNAcentral
UGGGGAAUUUUGGACAAUGGGCGAAAGCCUGAUCCAGCAAUGCCGCGUGUGUGAAGAAGGCCUUCGGGUUGUAAAGCACUUUUGUCCGGAAAGAAAUCCUUGGCUCUAAUACAGUCGGGGGAUGACGGUACCGGAAGAAUAAGCACCGGCUAACUACGUGCCAGCAGCCGCGGUAAUACGUAGGGUGCAAGCGUUAAUCGGAAUUACUGGGCGUAAAGCGUGCGCAGGCGGUUUGCUAAGACCGAUGUGAAAUCCCCGGGCUCAACCUGGGAACUGCAUUGGUGACUGGCAGGCUAGAGUAUGGCAGAGGAGGGUAGAAUUCCACGUGUAGCAGUGAAAUGCGUAGAGAUGUGGAGGAAUACCGAUGGCGAAGGCAGCCCCCUGGGCCAAAUACUGACGCUCAUGCACGAAAGCCGUGGGGGAGCAAACAGGAUUAGAUACCCUGGUAGUCCACGCCCUAAACGAUGUCAACUAGUUGUUGGGGACUUCAUUUCCUUAGUAACGUAGCUAACGCGU